GAACGUGGGGAAGUGAAACAUCUCAGUACCCAUAGGAAGAGAAAACAAUUGUGAUUCCGUGAGUAGUGGCGAGCGAAAGCGGAUGAGGCUAAACCAUGCGCAUGUGAUACCGGGUAGGGGUUGUGUGUGUGGGGUUGUGGGGUUCGUCUUCUUCCAUCUGCCUGUGGAAGCGUGAGUCAGAAAAUCGUGUGUUAGGUGAAGUGGCCUGGAAUGGUCUGCCGUAGUCGGUGAGAGUCCGGUAGCUGAAAACACAUGGUCUUGCGUGACGGUGUCCCCAAGUAGCAGCGGGCUCGUGGAAUCUGCUGUGAAUCUGCCGGGACCACCCGGUAAGCCUGAAUACUUCCUGGUGACCGAUAGCGGACUAGUACCGUGAGGGAAAGGUGAAAAGUACCCCGGGAGGGGAGUGAAAUAGUACCUGAAACCGGACGCUUACAAUCCGUCAAAGCCUGUGCACCCUUGUGGUGAAACCGGACGCUUACAAUCCGUCAAAGCCUGCGCGUAGUUUACUGCGGUGGGUGAUGGCGUGCCUUUUGAAGAAUGAGCCUGCGAGUUAGUGCUCGGUGGCGAGGUUAACCCGUGUGGGGUAGCCGUAGCGAAAGCGAGUCUGAAUAGGGCGUUUGAGUCGCCGGGUCUAGACCCGAAGCGGAGUGAUCUACCCAUGGCCAGGGUGAAGCGUCGGUAAGACGUCGUGGAGGCCCGAACCCACUUCAGUUGAAAAUGGAGGGGAUGAGUUGUGGGUAGGGGUGAAAGGCCAAUCAAACUCCGUGAUAGCUGGUUCUCCCCGAAAUGCAUUUAGGUGCAGCGUCACAUGUUUCUUACUGGAGGUAGAGCUACUGGAUGGCCGAUGGGCCCCACAGGGUUACUGACGUCAGCCAAACUCCGAAUGCCGGUAAGUGAGAGUGUGGCAGUGAGACUGCGGGCGAUAAGGUUCGUAGUCGAGAGGGAAACAGCCCAGAUCGCCGGCUAAGGCCCCUAAGCGUGUACUAAGUGGAAAAGGAUGUGGGGUCGCGAAGACAACCAGGAGGUUGGCUUAGAAGCAGCCACCCUUGAAAGAGUGCGUAAUAGCUCACUGGUCAAGUGAUCCUGCGCCGACAAUGUAGCGGGGCUCAAGUACACCGCCGAAGCCGCGGCACUCACAUUUUGCCCGUCGGAGCCUUACGGGGUUCCCAAGUACACCGCCGAAGCCGCGGCACUCACAUAAGCCCGCCUUCUGCCUACGGGUGGUUGGCCAGGUGUGUGGGUGGGUAGGGGAGCGUCCUGCAUCCGUGGAAGCUACAGAGUGAUCUAGUGGUGGAGGGUGUGGGAGUGAGAAUGCAGGCAUGAGUAGCGAAAGCAGAGUGAGAAACUCUGCCGCCGAAUGACCAAGGGUUCCUGGGCCAGGCUAAUCCGCCCAGGGUGAGUCGGGACCUAAGGCGAGGCCGACAGGCGUAGUCGAUGGACAACGGGUUGAUAUUCCCGUACCCGUGUAUCCGCGCCCAUGCUGAAUCAGUUGUACUAACCAUCCUGAUCCUCACGAGAGUGCCUUCGGGUGCCGAGUUGGGGUGAUGCAUGGGACCUUGGCUGGUAGUAGGCAAGCGAUGGGGUGACGCAGGAAGGUAGUGGGGCCAGUCAGUGGUUGUACUGGUGUAAGCCUGUAGGGCGAGCGAUAGGCAAAUCCGUCGUUCAUGAAGCCUGAGAGGUGAUGCGUAGCCGUUGCGGUGAAUUCCAUGAUCCUAUGCUGCCGAGAAAAGCCUCUAGUGAGUUGGUACACGGCCCGUACCCCAAACCAACACAGGUGGUCAGGUAGAGAAUACUAAGGCGAUCGAGAGAACUGUGGUUAAGGAACUCGGCAAAAUGCCCCCGUAACUUCGGGAGAAGGGGGACCCAUCCUGGUGACGGCAUGUACUGCCUGAGCUGGUGUGGGUCGCAGAGACCAGAGAGAAGCGACUGUUUACUAAAAACACAGGUCCGUGCGAAGUCGUAAGACGAUGUAUACGGACUGACGCCUGCCCGGUGCUGGAAGGUUAAGAGGACCGGUUAGUCACUUUGGUGGCGAAGCUGAGAAUUUAAGCCCCAGUAAACGGCGGUGGUAACUAUAACCAUCCUAAGGUAGCGAAAUUCCUUGUCGGGUAAGUUCCGACCUGCACGAAUGGCGUAACGACUUCUCUGCUGUCUCAACCACAGACUCGGCGAAAUUGCAGUACGAGUAAAGAUGCUCGUUACGCGCGGCAGGACGAAAAGACCCCGGGACCUUCACUAUAGCUUGGUAUUGGUGUUCGGUUCGGUUUGUGUAGGAUAGGUGGGAGACUGUGAAGUGGGCACGCCAGUGUUCAUGGAGUCGUUGUUGAAAUACCACUCUGAUCGUAUUGGACUUCUAACCUCGGACCCUGAUCGGGUUCAGGGACAGUGCCUGGUGGGUAGUUUAACUGGGGCGGUUGCCUCCUAAAAGGUAACGGAGGCGCCCAAAGGUUCCCUCAGCCUGGUUGGCAAUCAGGUGUUGAGUGUAAGUGCACAAGGGAGCUUGACUGUGAGACGUACAUGUCGAGCAGGGACGAAAGUCGGGACUAGUGAUCCGGCACCGGCAAGUGGAAGCGGUGUCGCUCAACGGAUAAAAGGUACCCCGGGGAUAACAGGCUGAUCUUCCCCAAGAGUCCAUAUCGACGGGAUGGUUUGGCACCUCGAUGUCGGCUCGUCGCAUCCUGGGGCUGGAGUAGGUCCCAAGGGUUGGGCUGUUCGCCCAUUAAAGCGGCACGCGAGCUGGGUUUAGAACGUCGUGAGACA
RNAcentral lists this ribosomal RNA (2760 nucleotides) under Gordonia terrae C-6. Its description in RNAcentral is "bacterial LSU rRNA". It matches the Rfam family "Bacterial large subunit ribosomal RNA", at positions 181 to 2628 of the family's 2925-position model. Lineage: Bacteria; Bacillati; Actinomycetota; Actinomycetes; Mycobacteriales; Gordoniaceae. The record is from RNAcentral.